UACGUAGGGUGCAAGCGUUGUCCGGAAUUAUUGGGCGUAAAGAGCUCGUAGGCGGUUUGUCGCGUCGGCUGUGAAAACUCGGGGCUCAACCCCGAGCCUGCAGUCGAUACGGGCAAACUAGAGUGUGGUAGGGGAGACUGGAAUUCCUGGUGUAGCGGUGAAAAUGCACAGAUAUCAGGAGGAACACCGGUGGCGAAGGCGGGUCUCUGGGCCGAUACUGACGCUGAGGAGCGAAAGCAUGGGGAGCGAACAGG
This 254-nucleotide ribosomal RNA is filed under the name uncultured bacterium. RNAcentral describes it as "partial 16S ribosomal RNA". It matches the Rfam family "Bacterial small subunit ribosomal RNA", at positions 524 to 776 of the family's 1533-position model. The record is from RNAcentral.